Molecule: ribosomal RNA, 495 nt
Filed under: uncultured bacterium
Lineage: Bacteria
Description: partial 16S ribosomal RNA
Rfam family: Bacterial small subunit ribosomal RNA
Source: RNAcentral
GACGAACGCUGGCGGCGUGCCUAAUACAUGCAAGUAGAACGCUGAAGGAGGAGCUUGCUUCUCUGGAUGAGUUGCGAACGGGUGAGUAACGCGUAGGUAACCUGCCUGGUAGCGGGGGAUAACUAUUGGAAACGAUAGCUAAUAUCGCAUAAUAGUAGAUGUUGCAUGACAUUUGCUUAAAAGGUGCAAUUGCAUCACUACCAGAUGGACCUGCGUUGUAUUAGCUAGUUGGUGAGGUAACGGCUCACCAAGGCAACGAUACAUAGCCGACCUGAGAGGGUGAUCGGCCACACUGGGACUGAGACACGGCCCAGACUCCUACGGGAGGCAGCAGUAGGGAAUCUUCGGCAAUGGACGGAAGUCUGACCGAGCAACGCCGCGUGAGUGAAGAAGGUUUUCGGAUCGUAAAGCUCUGUUGUAAGAGAAGAACGAGUGUGAGAGUGGAAAGUUCACACUGUGACGGUAUCUUACCAGAAAGGGACGGCUAACUACGUG